GACGAACGCUGGCGGCGUGCUUAACACAUGCAAGUCGAACGGAAAGGCCCUGCUUUUGUGGGGUGCUCGAGUGGCGAACGGGUGAGUAACACGUGAGUAACCUGCCCUUGACUUUGGGAUAACUUCAGGAAACUGGGGCUAAUACCGGAUAGGAGCUCCUGCUGCAUGGUGGGGGUUGGAAAGUUUCGGCGGUUGGGGAUGGACUCGCGGCUUAUCAGCUUGUUGGUGGGGUAGUGGCUUACCAAGGCUUUGACGGGUAGCCGGCCUGAGAGGGUGACCGGCCACAUUGGGACUGAGAUACGGCCCAGACUCCUACGGGAGGCAGCAGUGGGGAAUAUUGCACAAUGGGCGGAAGCCUGAUGCAGCAACGCCGCGUGCGGGAUGACGGCCUUCGGGUUGUAACCCGCUUUCGCCUGUGACGAAGCGUGAGUGACGGUAAUGGGGAAAGAAGCACCGGCUAACUACGU
This 467-nucleotide ribosomal RNA is filed under the name uncultured bacterium. RNAcentral describes it as "partial 16S ribosomal RNA". It matches the Rfam family "Bacterial small subunit ribosomal RNA", at positions 28 to 506 of the family's 1533-position model. The record is from RNAcentral.